RNAcentral lists this transfer RNA (76 nucleotides) under Candidatus Omnitrophota bacterium. Its description in RNAcentral is "tRNA-Ala". It matches the Rfam family "tRNA". From Rfam's summary of the family: Transfer RNA (tRNA) molecules are approximately 80 nucleotides in length. Their secondary structure includes four short double-helical elements and three loops (D, anti-codon, and T loops). Lineage: Bacteria; Pseudomonadati; Candidatus Omnitrophota. The record is from RNAcentral.
GGGGCAGUAGUUCAGUUGGGAGAACGCUACGUUCGCAACGUAGAGGUCGCGGGUUCGAAUCCCGCCUGCUCCACCA